GACGAACGCUGGCGGCGUGCUUAACACAUGCAAGUCGAGCGGUAAGGCCCUUUCGGGGGUACGACGAGCGGCGAACGGGUGAGUAACACGUGGGUGACCUGCCCUCAGCUCUGGGAUAAGCCCGGGAAACUGGGUCUAAUACCGGAUAUGACUUCAUGACGCAUGUUGUGGAGUGGAAAGCCUUGUGCGGCUGAGGAUGGGCCCGCGGCCUAUCAGCUUGUUGGUGGGGUGAUGGCCUACCAAGGCGACGACGGGUAGCCGGCCUGAGAGGGCGACCGGCCACACUGGGACUGAGAUACGGCCCAGACUCCUACGGGAGGCAGCAGUGGGGAAUCUUGCGCAAUGGGCGAAAGCCUGACGCAGCGACGCCGCGUGAGGGAUGACGGCCUCGGUUGUAACGUACUU
RNAcentral lists this ribosomal RNA (405 nucleotides) under uncultured bacterium. Its description in RNAcentral is "bacterial SSU rRNA". It matches the Rfam family "Bacterial small subunit ribosomal RNA", at positions 28 to 435 of the family's 1533-position model. The record is from RNAcentral.